CCUACGGGAGGCAGCAGUGGGGAAUAUUGCGCAAUGGGCGAAAGCCUGACGCAGCGACGCCGCGUGAGGGAUGAAGGUCUUCGGAUCGUAAACCCCUGUCAGCAGGGAAGAACGGUCACUGUGCUAAUCAGCAGUGAAUUGACGGUACCUGCAAAGGAAGCACCGGCUCACUCCGUGCCAGCAGCCGCGGUAAUACGGGGGGUGCGAGCGUUAAUCGGAAGUACUGGGCGUAAAGCGCUCGUAGGCGGUAUGUCAAGUCAAGGGUGAAAUCCCCGAGCUCAACGUGGGAACUGCCUUUGAAACUGGCAAACUGGAGUGUGUGAGAGGAUAGUGGAAUUCCAGGUGUAGGAGUGAAAGCCGUAGAUAUCGGGCAGAACAUCAGUGGCGAAGGCGACUAUCUGGCACAUAACUGACGCUGAGGAGCGAAAGCGUAGGUAGCAAACAGGAUUAGAUACCCGAGUAGUC
Molecule: ribosomal RNA, 465 nt
Filed under: uncultured bacterium
Lineage: Bacteria
Description: partial 16S ribosomal RNA
Rfam family: Bacterial small subunit ribosomal RNA
Source: RNAcentral